GAUGAACGCUAGCUACAGGCUUAACACAUGCAAGUCGAGGGGUAACGAGAGGAAAGCUUGCUUUCCUUGUCGACGACCGGCGCACGGGUGAGUAACGCGUAUCCAACCUGCCCCCAACUAGGGAAUAACCUUGCGAAAGUAAGACUAAUACCCUAUAAUUUCCUCAGAUGUCAUCUGACGAGGAAUAAAGAUUUAUCGGUUGUGGAUGGGGUUGCGUCUGAUUAGCUUGUUGGCGGGGUAACGGCCCACCAAGGCAACGAUCAGUAGGGGUUCUGAGAGGAAGGUCCCCCACAUUGGAACUGAGACACGGUCCAAACUCCUACGGGAGGCAGCAGUGAGGAAUAUUGGUCAAUGGGCGGAAGCCUGAACCAGCCAAGUAGCGUGCAGGAUGACGGCCCUAUGGGCUGUAAACUGCUUUUAUACAAGAAUAAAGUUAGCCACGUGUGGUUAUUUGUAGGUACUGUAUGAAUAAGGACCGGCUAAUUCCGUGCCAGCCGCCGCAGUAA
RNAcentral lists this ribosomal RNA (506 nucleotides) under uncultured bacterium. RNAcentral's name for it is "partial 16S ribosomal RNA". It matches the Rfam family "Bacterial small subunit ribosomal RNA", at positions 28 to 523 of the family's 1533-position model. The record is from RNAcentral.